AUGAACGCUAGCGGCAGGCUUAACACAUGCAAGUCGAGGGGCAGCAUAAUGGAUAGCAAUAUCUAUGGUGGCGACCGGCGCACGGGUGCGUAACGCGUAUGCAACCUACCUUUAACGAGGGGGAUAACACUGAGAAAUUGGUACUAAUACCCCAUAAUAUCAUAGAAGGCAUCUUUUAUGGUUGAAAAUUCCGAUGGUUAGAGAUGGGCAUGCGUUGUAUUAGCUAGUUGGUGGGGUAACGGCUCACCAAGGCGACGAUACAUAGGGGGACUGAGAGGUUAACCCCCCACACUGGUACUGAGACACGGACCAGACUCCUACGGGAGGCAGCAGUGAGGAAUAUUGGUCAAUGGACGCAAGUCUGAACCAGCCAUGCCGCGUGCAGGAUGACGGCUCUAUGAGUUGUAAACUGCUUUUGUACUAGGGUAAACUCACCUACGUGUAGGUGACUGAAAGUAUAGUACGAAUAAGGAUCGGCUAACUCCGUG
RNAcentral lists this ribosomal RNA (488 nucleotides) under uncultured bacterium. RNAcentral's name for it is "bacterial SSU rRNA". It matches the Rfam family "Bacterial small subunit ribosomal RNA", at positions 29 to 507 of the family's 1533-position model. The record is from RNAcentral.